GGCGGGUUGUGCGUGGGAGCCUUCGGGCUCGCCGGUGUCCUACUGGGCCGGUAGUUCCAACCACGCGCAGCCCGCC
RNAcentral lists this non-coding RNA (76 nucleotides) under delta proteobacterium NaphS2. The record is from RNAcentral. Lineage: Bacteria; Deltaproteobacteria.